AUUGAACGCUGGCGGUAUGCUUAACACAUGCAAGUCGAACGGUAGCAGGCCUUCGGGCGCUGACGAGUGGCGGACGGGUGAGUAACGCGUAGGAAUCUGCCUCAUAGUGGGGGACAACGUGGGGAAACUCACGCUAAUACCGCAUACGCCCUACGGGGGAAAGCGGGGGAUCUUCGGACCUCGCGCUAUGAGAUGAGCCUGCGUUAGAUUAGCUAGUUGGUAGGGUAAAGGCCUACCAAGGCGACGAUCUAUAGCUGGUCUGAGAGGACGAUCAGCCACACUGGGACUGAGACACGGCCCAGACUCCUACGGGAGGCAGCAGUGGGGAAUAUUGGACAAUGGGCGCAAGCCUGAUCCAGCCAUUCCGCGUGAGUGAAGAAGGCC
Molecule: ribosomal RNA, 384 nt
Filed under: uncultured bacterium
Lineage: Bacteria
Description: bacterial SSU rRNA
Rfam family: Bacterial small subunit ribosomal RNA
Source: RNAcentral